AUAAAAAUCAUCUGGUCACCUGUUUAAAAUGCAGAUUCAGAUUCAGAUUCAGUAGGUUGGAACCUGAGAUUCUGCAUACCUAAAUAGUUCCCAGGUAUUGAAAAU
RNAcentral lists this microRNA precursor (105 nucleotides) under Marmota monax (woodchuck). Lineage: Eukaryota; Metazoa; Chordata; Mammalia; Rodentia; Sciuridae. The record is from RNAcentral.